UGUGUGCAAGGUUCAGCUGGUCCUCCUUAUUACUUAUAGGCCAUUGCAAAGGAAAGAUGUGAGUUAAAGUGUUGUGAAGCCAAAGAAAGGAGCUUGGAGAUGUGGAAAAUCCUCCACCAGCCAUAUAGAAAAAAGUGAAGAGGUUUGCUCAGAAAAGAACACUAAGGAUACAGCUGAACAACUCUUUGACUGUUUCGUAGGUGCAAACCACACCUUAGGAAACCACCCCCAGAGAGGAGUGGAUCUGAGAACUCGCUGUUGGCCAUGAGGGAGCAGUCUUCGACCUGAACAACCCCCAGCAAGCUGUUGACUCAUCUAGACCACAACAAAGCCAGGAUUUUGCAGCUUUAAAAAAAUUGAGAAUAUUCACACUCUUUUUGUUUGUUUGUUUAGCCUGUCAUUUCACUCUGCCUAAAUACAUAACUUAAAUUAUUUUUUCUAUAACUGA
Non-coding RNA from Ictidomys tridecemlineatus (thirteen-lined ground squirrel), 448 nucleotides. Lineage: Eukaryota; Metazoa; Chordata; Mammalia; Rodentia; Sciuridae. The record is from RefSeq and is a predicted model, not a curated record.